Brachypodium distachyon (stiff brome) is the source of this 3777-nucleotide long non-coding RNA. RefSeq lists it as uncharacterized. The record is from RefSeq and is a predicted model, not a curated record. NCBI's taxonomy places the organism in Eukaryota, Viridiplantae, Streptophyta, Magnoliopsida, Poales, Poaceae. The transcript has 12 exons.
AGAAAAAAAACCUAGCCAGCCGCCCCAACCCCGUCGCUACUCGCUCGUCUUCCUCCUCGAGCGAGCGCCGCCACCCCUCCCUCCCCAUCUCGCUCUCCCCAUCCCGCUGCCGAGCGCCCCAACCCUAGUCGCUCCGUAGCUCGUCUUCCUCCUCGCGCGAGCGCCGCCAUCACUCCCUCCCCACCCCGCGCUGCCUAGCGCCCAGCCCCCCUAGCCUGUCUUCCUCCUCGCUCGAGCGCCUCCACCGCAGGUUGGUCUCCCCUUCGAUUCUCUCGCUCCCGACCGUUUCUCCUCCCAUCGCCCCACCAACGGAUUCUGCCUUUUAUCUCCCCGUUUCAUCUCCUUAAUCUUCCCCAAUUUGUAACUGACGCCCUACUGGGCCCUCCGCCCGUGCCACCAAUCCAAGAGCCUCGUUUCUGCUCCCAGAAAGCCACCAACCAGCCCGAAUUCCCAUUCUCGGCGAAAUUCUUGCUCUCCCCGAUCCCUAUCUGCUAACAGAGCCCUAUCUGCCUUGAAUUUCAUCAUCAAGUCAAUAACUAAUCUCGAAAGAACCGUUGGAAACAGAAAAUAAAGAUAAUACAUGCACUGAUGUAUAUUGGCUUGGAACAUGCUCUUAGCAGCAUGGACUUUCAUAUUGAUUCUGCUCUCCACGGCCAUAGCGAAGGCCUCCUCAACCGGUUUAUGGAGUCACCUAGCAGAUUUCUCCAGCAGUGAGGCAACUUGAGGUUAUCCUCUUGGCACUGACACAGUUGGUAGUCUCGUCGGAUGGAAGCUACAGCGAAGAGUGUCCAUGUGUGAAGCUAGAGCGAGGACUGUCCACAUGCUCUCCUAGACGAUAGCGCUGCAGGUGUCUGCUCCAGAAAAGAAGGGGCGGGCUGAAAGUGGGGUAACAGGGAGAUGGUGUUGGAAAUCUGGUUAUUUUCUUAGGGUCUCUUUGUUCCCGAUGUGUUAAUUCUUGUAGAAAAUAACUGACGAUUGAGCCCAUUGCUAUUCAUAUCAUGCUAGGCAAUUAAUGUGCUAUAAGAGGUGAUGGAAUCCAGAAUCAACACAAAGUAGAGUGGGCCAAAUGGUCAGUUGAUGGAGCCAGAGGUCGAAUUGAGAGGUAUGGGAGAAAGAGAAGACAGAGAGGAGGGUGCCUCACUGCCUUGCCUUCUCGAUGGAAUGGAGCAGCCAUGUAAAAGACACCACUUUUGGAAAAUUAAGCUAGCAUGUUUUUCAAUUUCUUUUGUUCUUCCGUAGCAACACACGGGCUUUUUGCUAGUUAUUAUUUUUUUUUUCUUCCUCUCCAAGCAGUAUAACCUUUCUUUUCUGACUUGCUUGACUUUAUGUUUUCUGAAGAAUGGUGGUUUAGAAAAUUCAUCUUCAGUAGCAGAAGCUCGAUGUCACUCUAUUUUGCUUCGUGAACCAAGAAGCAUUCCCUUCUCCGGCGUGUAUCUGCAAUAUAUGGUAGUUUACCACACAGGCAGUUCACAGACAAGUACAUAUUCUGAUUCGCACGAUAAGUUCCUCUCCUGAUCUUCUUGGGAUCAUCUCAGAUUCACCAGCUGACAGUCAGGACCUCCUCUUGCAGUGCCAUCUCAAGAUCUGAUUUCCUCCAUAAAGAACUUAUAUUCAUAAACAAAGGACGUCGACUUCCUUUUUUCAGACAUGGCGCAUCUGACAAAAGACGAGCUUUUUGUUUCCUCCACUCUUAGAAUGUUUAGGAUAAAUAACUGGCACAAUGCAUAAUAUAUUACUGUAUAGCUAGCUUUAUCGUACUCUAGAAUAUAUAUGGUGGUUAGACUUAAUGUGUACAUCUUUUGCAGUCUCCUAAUUAGGGGUGCAAGUGGGAUCUCACUUGUAAGUAAAUCUCCAAAUCCUCAAGUCAAUUUUAAGCAUUUUUUUUGAAUUAGCAAGUCAUUUAAGUGGGAUCCCACCUGCAUCCCUACUCCUAAUGAGCACGUACUAGUGGCUAAGCGCUAAUCAUUUGCAUUAAUGAGCCAGCACAUGGUAGCUGAACUGCUCAAACUGUAUUCAAUUCAAAUUAAGUUGGCAGCACCCCGUGGGCAGUGGUUAAUAUUUGCAAAGAAAGGUCAUGCUGCAGCCUUUGGGGAGAAGGGGGACAGCCUAGGUAUUGGAGUUUUCUCAGAACCAGUGGUUAUGAAACAUGACAGUUGACAGUAACUGACAUGGUGCAUUAAUCCAGCAAUUUGAACUCUAAGCAUUGUUUUCGAGAUAUCACAUAUAUUAUGUAGGCAUCGCUGCCGUGGUAUCGCUCAUAUUUCAUAUUUCGUUUCAUGUUUGUUAUUCGUUGUGCUUUUUUUUCUAGGUCAUGUCUGUGUUUUCCAAUAUUGUUAAUCUUCCUAUGGAUAAGUUUCAAGUUGCCCUUUCUCGAAUCCUGCAGGUUACUUUUCUCUACUAUGUGCAGGUUGAGUUAACAUUCUUUUUGUUCCUUAGCUAAGAUUUGAAACAUUUAUUGGUUCAUAAAUUGGGAUUUGGAAAUAAAGUACAGUGUCAGUUCAUAUCUGGGCUGAGGUGUUUGUUGCACACUUUGUGUAAAACUUCACACCUUCAAAGCUUUCUUAGUAAAGGCUCGUUUUUGCCUCACUCUUGAACUUCUAAUUCUAACUUAGUUAUUUUUCAGUUUUCAUGUUAAUUAUACGUGUUUUCUAGCUUGUGCAUGCUAUUCAUGCAGAUAACUUGCUACCUAUUGCAGGGAUCACCACAUCAUGGUCCUUCUAUUGACCCAUCAUAAAUUUUGAUUGCCAUCCAUGUAAUAGAUCCUGAAAAGGAUGGCAUACCACUGAAAAAGGUUAUGGAUGCAUGUGCUGCUUGCUUCGAGCAAAGGACAAUAUUCACUCAGCAAGUUUUGGCAAAAGCUCUAAAUCAAUUGGUAACCGUUCCUGGAUAUUAUCAUGUUUUCUGUUGUAUUUGCCUUGUGAACAGAUUCCUGUUCCUGUGCUGUUCAUGCGAACUGUUAUGCAAGCAAUAGGUGCCUUUCCUGCAUUGGUGGUAUGAUCUGAUAGCGAGACUUCCUUUCAGGUGGACUUUGGGAUGGAGAUCAUGUCACACAUUGUUAGCAAGCAGAUAUGGAAAUAUCCUAAGUGUGCUAUCCUAAGUUCCUGACAAAACCUCAAUCAUAUGGGGUGCUGCUGCAGGGAGUUUUCAUGAGGUCACGGACAACCAUUUUGGAUCUAGUAGUUCUGGAAAACGGUGACAUCAUAAAUAAACUUUGAAGGGUCCACGAUGGAGUCGCCGAACACCACCAGCGCCGGCACCUUUGGCUUCUUCUUCUUCGGGCUCGCACUACUAGAACUAGCAGCUAUGGCAGCAUCUCGGCUAGAAACUGAACUGAUCGCCGCUGCCACCAGCAGCAUCAACAAGAACAAGCUUCUGCUGCUACGCUGCAAACAUCUUGUGACGCCCAUCGAUCGAUCUGACUGGCUAGAAUGAUCAAUCCUGACCGAGCUGCGUGUGCAGUGGAGAGAGCUAGUGUUGUGGCGGUGUCCGUUAUGCUGGGGGAUAUAUUUAUGCAUGGCUUUCGGUGCAGAUAUGACGGUCACCGGCCGGCAAGAAAGAAGAUGGGUCACAUGGGGCGAGUUAAUGCUAGCAAGACUAGUACGCGUGCGUGCCUGCCUUGAAUCCAUUCAUUGCACUAGCUACCGUAAAUAUGACCUGCCGAUCCAUUGUCUGCCAUGCCAUGCCUGGAUCUGCAUGCCCAAUCCAAUGAAACGCACUAGUACAUGCUACUGCAUGUAAUAAACAGACUACUCUAACUUAACUGAAGACGUAAUUUCA